This 74-nucleotide transfer RNA is filed under the name Planctomycetia bacterium. RNAcentral describes it as "tRNA-Arg". It matches the Rfam family "tRNA". From Rfam's summary of the family: Transfer RNA (tRNA) molecules are approximately 80 nucleotides in length. Their secondary structure includes four short double-helical elements and three loops (D, anti-codon, and T loops). Further hydrogen bonds mediate the characteristic L-shaped molecular structure. tRNAs have two regions of fundamental functional importance: the anti-codon, which is responsible for specific mRNA codon recognition, and the 3' end, to which the tRNAs corresponding amino acid is attached (by aminoacyl-tRNA synthetases). tRNAs cope with the degeneracy of the genetic code in two manners: having more than one tRNA (with a specific anti-codon) for a particular amino acid; and 'wobble' base-pairing, i.e. permitting non-standard base-pairing at the 3rd anti-codon position. RNAcentral also lists the same sequence under 2 other names. The record is from RNAcentral. Lineage: Bacteria; Pseudomonadati; Planctomycetota; Planctomycetia.
GCGCCUGUGGCUCAAUUGGAUAGCGCAUCGGUCUUCGGAACCGAGGGUUGGGGGUUCGAAUCCCUUCAGGCGUG